RNAcentral lists this ribosomal RNA (266 nucleotides) under uncultured Pseudomonas sp. RNAcentral's name for it is "partial 16S ribosomal RNA". It matches the Rfam family "Bacterial small subunit ribosomal RNA", at positions 1121 to 1382 of the family's 1533-position model. Lineage: Bacteria; Pseudomonadati; Pseudomonadota; Gammaproteobacteria; Pseudomonadales; Pseudomonadaceae. The record is from RNAcentral.
GCACGUAUGGUGGGCGACUCUAAGGAGAACUGCCGGUGGACAAACCGGACGGAAGGUGGGGAGUGACGUCAAGUCAUCAUGGCCCUUACGGCCUGGGCUACACACGUGCUACAAUGGUCGGUACAAAGGGUUGCCAAGCCGCGAGGUGGAGCUAAUCCCAUAAAACCGAUCGUAGUCCGGAUCGCAGUCUGCAACUCGACUGCGUGAAGUCGGAAUCGCUAGUAAUCGUGAAUCAGAAUGUCACGGUGAAUACGUUCCCGGGCCUU